RNAcentral lists this transfer RNA (73 nucleotides) under Caudoviricetes sp. RNAcentral's name for it is "tRNA-Phe". It matches the Rfam family "tRNA". From Rfam's summary of the family: Transfer RNA (tRNA) molecules are approximately 80 nucleotides in length. The record is from RNAcentral. Lineage: Duplodnaviria; Heunggongvirae; Uroviricota; Caudoviricetes.
AAACAGUUAGCUCAGUUGGGUAGAGCAACAUUGGAAACGAUGUAGGUCGUAAGUUCAAAUCUUACACUGUUUC